UACAGAGGUCCCAAGCGUUGUUCGGAUUCACUGGGCGUAAAGGGUGCGUAGGUGGUCAGGUAAGUCGGAUGUGAAAUCUCCGAGCUCAACUCGGAAACCUGCAUUGGAAAACUACCUGGCUCGAGGGUUGGAGGGGGGACUGGAAUGCUUGGUGUAGCAGUGAAAAUGCGUAGAUAUCAAGCGGAACACCAGUGGCGAAGGCGAGUCCCUGGACAACUCCUGACACUGAUGCACGAAAGCUAGGGGAGCAAACAGG
RNAcentral lists this ribosomal RNA (256 nucleotides) under uncultured bacterium. Its description in RNAcentral is "partial 16S ribosomal RNA". It matches the Rfam family "Bacterial small subunit ribosomal RNA", at positions 524 to 776 of the family's 1533-position model. The record is from RNAcentral.